GAUGAAGAACGCAGCAAAAUGCGAUAAGUAAUGUGAAUUGCAGAAUUCAGUGAAUCAUCGAAUCUUUGAACGCACAUUGCGCCCGCCAGUAUUCUGGCGGGCAUGCCUGUUCGAGCGUCAUUUCAACCCUCAAGCUCAGCUUGGUGUUGGGACUCGCGGUAACCCGCGUUCCCCAAAUCGAUUGGCGGUCACGUCGAGCUUCCAUAGCGUAGUAAUCAUACACCUCGUUACUGGUAAUCGUCGCGGCCACGCCGUAAAACCCCAACUUCUGAAUGUUGACCUCGGAUCGGGUAGGAAUACCCGCUGAACUUAAGCAUAUCAAUAAGCGGAGGA
This 333-nucleotide unclassified non-coding RNA is filed under the name soil metagenome. RNAcentral's name for it is "partial contains 5.8S ribosomal RNA, internal transcribed spacer 2, and large subunit ribosomal RNA". The stretch from base 1 to 120 matches the Rfam family "5.8S ribosomal RNA", at positions 35 to 154 of the family's 154-position model. The record is from RNAcentral.